This 775-nucleotide ribosomal RNA is filed under the name uncultured Neocallimastigales. RNAcentral's name for it is "partial large subunit ribosomal RNA". It matches the Rfam family "Eukaryotic large subunit ribosomal RNA", at positions 24 to 614 of the family's 3401-position model. Lineage: Eukaryota; Fungi; Neocallimastigomycota; Neocallimastigomycetes; Neocallimastigales. The record is from RNAcentral.
UAUCUCUGUAGAGUCUGCAUAUCAAUAAGCGGAGGAAAAGAAACUAACUAGGAUUCCCUAAGUAACGGCGAGUGAAGCGGGAAGAGCUCAAAUUUGAAAUCUUCAAGGUUUUACCUUGACGAAUUGUAGUUUAAAGAAGUGUUUUCUGUUGGAGUUUUGGUAAAAGUUCUUUGGAAUAGGACAUCAUAGAGGGUGAGAAUCCCGUAUUUGACCAUUAUUUCCAGCUUUGUGAUACACUUUCAAAGAGUCGGAUUGUUUGGGAAUGCAGUCCAAAAUGGGUGGUAAAUUUCAUCUAAAGCUAAAUAUUGGCGAGAGACCGAUAGCGAACAAGUACCGUGAGGGAAAGAUGAAAAGAACUUUGAAAAGAGAGUUAAACAGUACGUGAAAUUGUCAAAAGGGAAGCGUUUGACACCAGUGUUGUUUUCUCGAAAAUCAAUUAAAAAUGGCAGGAUUUUGUGUUGUAUUGACUUUAUCAGCUUUCUGCACUCUUUUCCUUGUCUUUUUUAAUGCACUUUUCGUUUAACAAGUCAACAUCAAUUUCUUUUGUUGUAAAAGGGUCAUUGGAAGGUGGCUUUCUUUUCGGAGAAAGUGUUUAUAGCCUUUGGCCUCUGCAAUCGGAGAGAUUGAGGUCUGCAGCGUAGAUCCUUCGGGGUUAGAUACAUUUGUGCUAAGUUAUAGCCUUUCAUAGACAACUUGUUGACUAUGAUCAGUCAUGUAGCUUACUCGCUUAUGCUAUUUUACCUACGCUUAGGAUGUUGAGUCAUCACACAUCUCU